UGUGGCCUACGGGGCGCAGCAGUAGGGAAUCUUCCACAAUGGGCGAAAGCCUGAUGGAGCAACGCCGCGUGGGUGAAGAAGGUCUUCGGAUCGUAAAACCCUGUUGUUAGAGAAGAAAGUGCGUGAGAGUAACUGUUCACGUUUCGACGGUAUCUAACCAGAAAGCCACGGCUAACUACGUGCCAGCAGCCGCGGUAAUACGUAGGUGGCAAGCGUUAUCCGGAUUUAUUGGGCGUAAAGGGAACGCAGGCGGGCUUUUAAGGCUGAUGUGAAGGCCUUCGGCUUAACCGGAGUAGGGCAUUGGG
RNAcentral lists this ribosomal RNA (305 nucleotides) under uncultured bacterium. RNAcentral's name for it is "bacterial SSU rRNA". It matches the Rfam family "Bacterial small subunit ribosomal RNA", at positions 333 to 630 of the family's 1533-position model. The record is from RNAcentral.